This 714-nucleotide ribosomal RNA is filed under the name uncultured bacterium. RNAcentral's name for it is "bacterial SSU rRNA". It matches the Rfam family "Bacterial small subunit ribosomal RNA", at positions 111 to 823 of the family's 1533-position model. The record is from RNAcentral.
UAACACGUAUCCAACCUGCCGUCUACUCUUNGACAGCCUUCUGAAAGGAAGAUUAAUACAAGAUGGCAUCAUGAGUUCACAUGUUCACAUGAUUAAAGGUAUUCCGGUAGACGAUGGGGAUGCGUUCCAUUAGAUAGUAGGCGGGGUAACGGCCCACCUAGUCUUCGAUGGAUAGGGGUUCUGAGAGGAAGGUCCCCCACAUUGGAACUGAGACACGGUCCAAACUCCUACGGGAGGCAGCAGUGAGGAAUAUUGGUCAAUGGGCGAGAGCCUGAACCAGCCAAGUAGCGUGAAGGAUGACUGCCCUAUGGGUUGUAAACUUCUUUUAUAAAGGAAUAAAGUCGGGUAUGCAUACCCGUUUGCAUGUACUUUAUGAAUAAGGAUCGGCUAACUCCGUGCCAGCAGCCGCGGUAAUACGGAGGAUCCGAGCGUUAUCCGGAUUUAUUGGGUUUAAAGGGAGCGUAGAUGGAUGUUUAAGUCAGUUGUGAAAGUUUGCGGCUCAACCGUAAAAUUGCAGUUGAUACUGGAUAUCUUGAGUGCAGUUGAGGCAGGCGGAAUUCGUGGUGUAGCGGUGAAAUGCUUAGAUAUCACGAAGAACUCCGAUUGCGAAGGCAGCCUGCUAAGCUGCAACUGACAUUGAGGCUCGAAAGUGUGGGUAUCAAACAGGAUUAGAUACCCUGGUAGUCCACACGGUAAACGAUGAAUACUCGCUGU